GUCCCAGUGGCCGAGNGGNNAAGGCGAUGCCCUGCUAAGGCAUUGGGUUUUACCUGCGCAGGUNCGAAUCCUGUCUGUGACGCCA
This 85-nucleotide transfer RNA is filed under the name Saccharomyces cerevisiae (brewer's yeast). Its description in RNAcentral is "tRNA-Ser (GCU)". It matches the Rfam family "tRNA". From Rfam's summary of the family: Transfer RNA (tRNA) molecules are approximately 80 nucleotides in length. Their secondary structure includes four short double-helical elements and three loops (D, anti-codon, and T loops). Further hydrogen bonds mediate the characteristic L-shaped molecular structure. tRNAs have two regions of fundamental functional importance: the anti-codon, which is responsible for specific mRNA codon recognition, and the 3' end, to which the tRNAs corresponding amino acid is attached (by aminoacyl-tRNA synthetases). tRNAs cope with the degeneracy of the genetic code in two manners: having more than one tRNA (with a specific anti-codon) for a particular amino acid; and 'wobble' base-pairing, i.e. permitting non-standard base-pairing at the 3rd anti-codon position. Lineage: Eukaryota; Fungi; Ascomycota; Saccharomycetes; Saccharomycetales; Saccharomycetaceae. The record is from RNAcentral.